This 2101-nucleotide ribosomal RNA is filed under the name Pseudomonas sp. NBRC 111134. RNAcentral's name for it is "bacterial LSU rRNA". It matches the Rfam family "Bacterial large subunit ribosomal RNA", at positions 3 to 2140 of the family's 2925-position model. The record is from RNAcentral. Lineage: Bacteria; Pseudomonadati; Pseudomonadota; Gammaproteobacteria; Pseudomonadales; Pseudomonadaceae.
UCAAGUGAAGAAGCGCAUACGGUGGAUGCCUUGGCAGUCAGAGGCGAUGAAAGACGUGGUAGCCUGCGAAAAGCUUUGGGGAGUCGGCAAACAGACUGUGAUCCAGAGAUCUCUGAAUGGGGGAACCCAGCCAGCAUAAGCUGGUUAUCUUGUACUGAAUACAUAGGUGCAAGAGGCGAACCAGGGGAACUGAAACAUCUAAGUACCCUGAGGAAAAGAAAUCAACCGAGAUUCCCUUAGUAGUGGCGAGCGAACGGGGACCAGCCCUUAAGUUGGUUUGAGAUUAGUGGAACGCUCUGGAAAGUGCGGCCAUAGUGGGUGAUAGCCCCGUACACGAAAAUCUCUUAUCAAUGAAAUCGAGUAGGACGGAGCACGAGAAACUUUGUCUGAAUAUGGGGGGACCAUCCUCCAAGGCUAAAUACUACUGACUGACCGAUAGUGAACUAGUACCGUGAGGGAAAGGCGAAAAGAACCCCGGAGAGGGGAGUGAAAUAGAUCCUGAAACCGUAUGCGUACAAGCAGUGGGAGCCUACUUUGUUAGGUGACUGCGUACCUUUUGUAUAAUGGGUCAGCGACUUAUAUUCAGUGGCGAGCUUAACCGAAUAGGGGAGGCGUAGCGAAAGCGAGUCUUAAUAGGGCGUUUAGUCGCUGGGUAUAGACCCGAAACCGGGCGAUCUAUCCAUGGGCAGGUUGAAGGUUAGGUAACACUGACUGGAGGACCGAACCGACUACCGUUGAAAAGUUAGCGGAUGACCUGUGGAUCGGAGUGAAAGGCUAAUCAAGCUCGGAGAUAGCUGGUUCUCCUCGAAAGCUAUUUAGGUAGCGCCUCAUGUAUCACUGUAGGGGGUAGAGCACUGUUUCGGCUAGGGGGUCAUCCCGACUUACCAAACCGAUGCAAACUCCGAAUACCUACAAGUGCCGAGCAUGGGAGACACACGGCGGGUGCUAACGUCCGUCGUGAAAAGGGAAACAACCCAGACCGUCAGCUAAGGUCCCAAAGUCAUGGUUAAGUGGGAAACGAUGUGGGAAGGCUUAGACAGCUAGGAGGUUGGCUUAGAAGCAGCCACCCUUUAAAGAAAGCGUAAUAGCUCACUAGUCGAGUCGGCCUGCGCGGAAGAUGUAACGGGGCUCAAACCAUGCACCGAAGCUACGGGUAUCACCUUUUGGUGAUGCGGUAGAGGAGCGUUCUGUAAGCCUGUGAAGGUGAGUUGAGAAGCUUGCUGGAGGUAUCAGAAGUGCGAAUGCUGACAUGAGUAACGACAAUGCGAGUGAAAAACUCGCACGCCGAAAGACCAAGGUUUCCUGCGCAACGUUAAUCGACGCAGGGUUAGUCGGUCCCUAAGGCGAGGCUGAAAAGCGUAGUCGAUGGAAAACAGGUUAAUAUUCCUGUACUUCCAGUUAUUGCGAUGGAGGGACGGAGAAGGUUAGGCCAGCCUGGCGUUGGUUGUCCAGGUUUAAGGUGGUAGGCUGAAAUCUUAGGCAAAUCCGGGAUUUCAAGGCCGAGAGCUGAUGACGAGUUGCCUUUAGGCGACGAAGUGGUUGAUACCAUGCUUCCAAGAAAAGCUCCUAAGCUUCAGAUAACUGGGAACCGUACCCCAAACCGACACAGGUGGUUAGGUAGAGAAUACCAAGGCGCUUGAGAGAACUCGGGUGAAGGAACUAGGCAAAAUGGCACCGUAACUUCGGGAGAAGGUGCGCCGGCGAGGGUCAAGGACUUGCUCCGUAAGCCCAUGCCGGUCGAAGAUACCAGGCCGCUGCGACUGUUUAUUAAAAACACAGCACUCUGCAAACACGAAAGUGGACGUAUAGGGUGUGACGCCUGCCCGGUGCCGGAAGGUUAAUUGAUGGGGUUAGCGCAAGCGAAGCUCUUGAUCGAAGCCCCGGUAAACGGCGGCCGUAACUAUAACGGUCCUAAGGUAGCGAAAUUCCUUGUCGGGUAAGUUCCGACCUGCACGAAUGGCGUAACGAUGGCGGCGCUGUCUCCACCCGAGACUCAGUGAAAUUGAAAUCGCUGUGAAGAUGCAGUGUAUCCGCGGCUAGACGGAAAGACCCCGUGAACCUUUACUAUAGCUUUGCACUGGACUUUGAAUUUGCUUGUGUA